AUGGUCUUGUUCAUUGUCCUGAUUGUGGUCAUGGUUUUGGUCUUGUUCAUCGCCUUGAUCGUGGUCAUGGUCUUGGUCUUGUUCAUGGUCUUGAUUGUGGUCUUGAUCCUGGUCAUGAUCGUGGUCUUGUUCAUGGUCUUGAUCGUGGCCUUGAUCGUGGUCAUGAUUUUGGUCUCGCUCAUCAUCUUGAUCGUGGUCAUGGUCUUGGUCUUGUUCAUGGUCUUGAUCGUGGUUAUGGUCUUGGUCUUGUUCAUGGUCUUGAUCGUGGUCUUGAUCAUGGUCCUUGUCAUGAUGUUUGUCUCUGUGCUGUUUGUGUCUGUGCUGCUUGUUUCUGUGCUGUUGGUCAUGGUCCUGUUCGUGAUCACGGUUGUGAUUUUGAUCAGGGUCCUUGCCAUGAUGUUUGUGUCUGUGAUGUUUGUGACUGUGCUGCUUGUGUCUGUGCUGUUGGUCAUGGUCAAGGUCAUGUUCGUGAUAAUGGUCGUGAUCUUGAUCAUGGUCCUUGUCAUGAUAUUUGUGUCUGUGCUGUUUGUGUCUGUACUGCUUGUGUCUGUGCUGUUGGUCAUGGUCUUGGCCAUGGUCAUGUUCGUGAUCAUGGUCGUGAUCUUGAUCAUGGUCCUUGUCAUGAUGUUUGUGUCUGUGCUGUUUGUGUCUGUGCUGCUUGUGUCUGUGCUGUUGGUCAUGGUCAUGGUCAUGUUCGUGAUCAUGGUCUUGAUCUUGAUCAUGGUCCUUGUCAUGAUGUUUGUGUCUCUGCUGUUGGUCAUGGUCUUGGUCUUUAUCAUGGUCAUGAUCGUGGUCUUGAUAGUGAUCCUCUUCAUGAUGUUUGUAUCUGUGCUGUUUGUGUCUGUGCUGCUUGUGUCUGUGCUGUUGGUCAUGGUCUUGGUCAUGGUCAUGCUCGUGAUCAAGGUCGUGAUCUUGAUCAUGGUCCUUUUCAUGAUGUUUGUGUCUGUGCUGUUUAUGUCUGUGCUGCUUGUGUCUGUGCUGUUGGUCAUGGACUUGGUCAUGGUCAUGUUCGUGAUCAUGGUCGUGAUCUUGACCAUGGUCCUUUUCAUGAUGUUUGUGUCUGUGCUGUUGGUCAUGGUCUUGGUCAUGGUCAUGGUCAUGUUCGUGAUCAUGGUGGUGAUCUUGAUCAUGGUCUUGAUCUUUGUCAUGGCCGUGGUCGUGGUCUUGAUCUUGGUCUUGAUCAUGGUCGUGGUCUUGUUCCUGGUCUUGAUCGUGGUCAUGGUCUUGUUCAUCGUCUUGAUCGUGGUCAUGGUCUUGUUCAUGGUCUUGAUCGUGGUCAUGGUCGUGGUCUUGUUCAUGGUCAUGAUGUUGGUCUUGAUCAUGCUCAGGGUCCUGGUCCUGUUCAUGGUCUUGAUUGUGGUCAUAGUCUUGGUCUUGUUCAUGGUCUUGAUCGUGGUCAUGGUCGUGGAGUUGAUCAUGGUCUCGUUCAUGGUCUUGAUCGUGGUCAUGGCCGUGGUCGUGGUCUUGAUCUUGGUCUUGAUCAUGGUCGUGGUCCUGUUCCUGGUCUUGAUCGUGGUCAUGGUCUUGUUCAUCGUCUUGAUCGUGGUCAUGGUCGUGUUCUUGUUCAUGGUCUUGAUCGUGGUCAUGGUCGUGGAGUUGAUCAUGAUCUUGAUCAUGGUCAUGGUCGUGGUCUUGUUCAUGGUCUUGAUCGUGGUCUGUGGUCUUGAUCGUGGUCAUGGCUGUUGUCGUGGUCUUGUUCAUGGUCUUGUUCAUUGUCCUGAUCGUGGUCAUGGUCUUGGUCUUGUUAAUCGUCUUGAUCGUGUUCAUGGUCUGGGUCUUGUUCAUCGAUCGUGGUCAUGA
RNAcentral lists this long non-coding RNA (1800 nucleotides) under Nothobranchius furzeri (turquoise killifish). RNAcentral describes it as "lncRNA (ENSNFUG00015015303.1)". Lineage: Eukaryota; Metazoa; Chordata; Actinopteri; Cyprinodontiformes; Nothobranchiidae. The record is from RNAcentral.